UGAUCAAGAAUAAAUGAUGUCGUUACAGA
This 29-nucleotide small RNA is filed under the name Bombyx mori (domestic silkworm). RNAcentral's name for it is "ovarian small RNA-8306". Lineage: Eukaryota; Metazoa; Arthropoda; Insecta; Lepidoptera; Bombycidae. The record is from RNAcentral.